Triticum urartu is the source of this 1859-nucleotide non-coding RNA. NCBI's taxonomy places the organism in Eukaryota, Viridiplantae, Streptophyta, Magnoliopsida, Poales, Poaceae. The record is from RefSeq and is a predicted model, not a curated record.
UCUAGAUCUGGAGUGGACUGAAGUUUCAGUAUCUAUGAGAGAUGCAAGAACCUUUUCUCCUUCUCAAGGAAGCAUUGAGCAGUUGCAUUGCAAAUACAAGGAUCACCAUCAGUCCAACAGAGAGGUAUCAACAAGAGGUUGAGGUUAUCACUUGAGGGCAAGAAAUCCUAUCGUAUCCUUCCAAACACGGAGGAGCAUUCCUUACUUUUAGCAGAUCAAAUAAUUCGAUGAUGGUUUGCUUUCUUACUGUUAUCUGUUGAAAUGCAUGUUAUCUGUUGAAGAGCAUGGUAAGGAUGAAAAGCCUACCAAAUGUUUAUUCCAAAUCUAAAAUGCAUAUACUUAGCUCCGUGUUUUGUAUGCAUAAUCAGGGGCGAUAAGCCCUGCAUUUGGCCUUAAUAUGAUGAAAUAAAUAACUUGUCAUUGUUAUGCAUAUUAGCUAGGCUCUAUGUGGGUAUGUCAUAUCAUCAAUCUGUCCCCAUUGAUUAUGCGUGUACUUUUCUCUUGUAUUAGCCUGAUGUAGAAAAUAACUGAAUUUUGUUUCUGUUCUUGCAUCGCAAAACCAACUUGGGUGAAACUGCUAUUGCCAAAUAGAUUGUUCUGAUUAUAAGGAGCCUUUUUCAAAUAUCGAGAUGAUGUAUUUGCAAACCUUAAUGCAAAAUGUUUAGUCAGUCUCAGCUCUACUUUCCAGGUAUGCCACAUCCAGAUUACUCUUAUCUUUUGUUUUUCUUUUCUUGGGAGUAUAAUUUACUUCCUAUUUUCUUCCUGUUUCUCUAACUACCCCCACUAAAAUUUGUAGUAGUUAGGAUGCUAAAGGGUAACAACGAAGGUAUCCACUCAAGGAUCGAGCAAAUGCAGUUCCAAUGCCUGGGGAUUUUAACUGUCCAUGAAAUAUUUCUCCUCUUAAAAGUGCAAUUUAAAAAACUAAUAUAUAAAAGCACGGAAAUAUUAGACAUAACAAUUCUGAUUUAUUAUAUUUAGGUGGGCGUAUCGUGCACCAUACACCUGGGUCAGAAAUUGCAUUUCUGUCAUUCAAACUUCAGAGAAUGAUUGAUCUGCUUAUCCGUUGAUGUUCUUGUGAAAUUGUAUCCUUAUGAAUAUUUCCAGCCCGUGGGAACAUGGUAAAUGAUAAAGCCAAAAAAAUAGCCUUGAUGAAAAUAACUGACAGUGGUUCUGAAAUUUUACUUUAGCGUCUUUCUAAACUCACAACACUGAACUUGGUAUGUCUAUAUAAUAUGCAAAAACUUUAGUUUGCAGAAUGUCAGAUUUCAGACUUUUGGUUAGGAUGCUACAUGAGAUUAUAUGUAGAGACACCGGCUUAUAUUAUACAGAUUUCUUUUAUUAUUUGUUGAUGUUUAUGUACUGUAAAUGUAAGUCAUGGGCAUCCCAAAGAAACUUGUUCUGACCAUUGGCAUUUUCAUGGACCACCGUCAGAAGAACAUGUAACUGGAGGUUAUGCAGUCUAAUGUCGACAGGCGCGAGAUACAACGACAACCUGGCAAGCUUUAUCUUCCUAAGCCAUCCGGAGGUCCAGGGCCACUACAUGCCCAUCACUCGCGGCGGCGAGAAGCACAUGCAUACGGCAAGCUCCGUGUCGAGAUGUUUAACCAACACCUGUUGGGAGCCCGGAUGAAGAAGGCUGUCGACGCGGAGAAAGAGGAUAAGUGAUGAGAUGUUUAUGGCAGCUAAUGGAUGAUGUUAUCUUAGUUUCUGGAUUUUUGUUUCGGCUGACUCAGAAACCUUGUUUGAUUUUUGAAGAUAGCUUUUUAGAACUACAAAUAUUUGAUACAAUGUGUUUUAGUAUAGACGUGCGUUGCACGUGCAAGCUUACUAGUUAGUUACAAAAUAACCAAUAUAGAAGC